ACCAAUCUUUACCAUUCAGUGAUAACAAGCACUUUAUUUUACAUUUUAAUAUUUUAUGAUGUAUUUAAAAGAGUAGUUAUUGUUGCAAACUCCAUUAGAAAUUUGAAUUGAUAUCAGUUUUGGAAAAAGGGAAACGGGGAUGUGAAAAAAAGGGGGGGGGGUUAAAUUUUUCUCAUUUCAGAUUUCAUAAAUAAAAAGAAAAUUUCUUCAAACAUUUUUUUGAGAGGAUUAAUAUUCAACAGCAUAGUGAAUUGCUCAAAGGCAAAAAAAAACUUUUAAGUUCAUUAGACCACAUUCGUUCUGUGUCAGAAACCUAUGCUGUGUCAUGAUCAACUAUUUAAUUUUAGAUUUAAAAAGUUUGAAGAAGAAAUCUUUAAUUGAUUUGUAAAAUCUUGACAUUUGUUUUGUGUAAAAAAAAAACCAUGUAAUGUCAAAAAUUUGAUCACAAUCCAAAUUCAGAGCUGUAUCACGCUUGAAUGUUUUGUCCAUACUUGCCCCAACUGUUCAGGGUUCGACCUCUGCGGUCGUAUAAAGCUGCACCCUGCGGAGCACCUGGUUGCUUAUGGGGCCAGUUUUCAAGUUGGUCCAAAUCAUGGUCCAUGGGGGUUCUUCAAUAUGCUGAAUCUAACCAUGUAUUUAGAUUUUUGAUAUUUGGCCCCAGUGAUCAAAUUGGUCCACAUUGAGGUCUAAAGGGUCCAAAAUUGAACUUUAUUUGAUUUCAUCAAAAAUUGAAUUCUUUGGGUUUUUUGAUAUGCUGAAUCUCACCAUGUAUUUAGAUCUUGGAUAUUGGACCAUAAAAAGUAAAUGUCCAAUUUGAAAUUUAAAGUUUUUAAGUUUAAGUUCUUAGACCACAUUCAUUCUGUGUCAGAAACCUAUGUUGUGUCAACUAUUUAAUCAAAAUCCAAAUUCAGAGCUGUAUCAAGCUUGAAUGUUGCUUCCAUACUUGCCCCAACUGUUCAGGGUUGGAAUUCUGCGGUCGUAUAAAGCUGCGCCCUGUGGAGCAUCUGGUUUAAACAAGUUUUAGUUGAUAUAGAGAGACAUUGACUUGUUAGCAAAAAUUAUCAAACAGGACAAAAUUUACAAAAAGGUCAGAUUGCAAACUAAAUGGAUGUAUUACAUUUUAAAAUAAUUCAGUCAUGUUGAAUAAGUAAAGCAGGC
RNAcentral lists this long non-coding RNA (1158 nucleotides) under Mytilus galloprovincialis (Mediterranean mussel). Lineage: Eukaryota; Metazoa; Mollusca; Bivalvia; Mytilida; Mytilidae. The record is from RNAcentral.